AGCGAACGCUGGCGGCAGGCCUAACACAUGCAAGUCGAACGAACCUUUCGGGGUUAGUGGCGGACGGGUGAGUAACACGUGGGAACGUGCCUUUAGGUUCGGAAUAACUCAGGGAAACUUGUGCUAAUACCGAAUGUGCCCUUCGGGGGAAAGAUUAAUCGCCUUUAGAGCGGCCCGCGUCUGAUUAGCUAGUUGGUUGAGGUAAUGGCUCACCAAGGCGACGAUCAGUAGCUGGUCUGAGAGGAUGAUCAGCCACAUUGGGACUGAGACACGGCCCAAACUCCUACGGGAGGCAGCAGGGGGGAAUCUUGCGCAAUGGGCGAAAGCCUGACGCAGCCAUGCCGGGUGAAUGAUGAAGGUCUUAGGAUUGUAAAAUUCUUUCACCGGGGACAAUAAUGACGGUACCCGGAGAAGAAGCCCCGGCUAACUUCGU
This 433-nucleotide ribosomal RNA is filed under the name uncultured bacterium. RNAcentral describes it as "partial 16S ribosomal RNA". It matches the Rfam family "Bacterial small subunit ribosomal RNA", at positions 29 to 506 of the family's 1533-position model. The record is from RNAcentral.